RNAcentral lists this long non-coding RNA (345 nucleotides) under Vitis vinifera (wine grape). RNAcentral describes it as "long non-coding RNA (VVIN_LNC007489)". Lineage: Eukaryota; Viridiplantae; Streptophyta; Magnoliopsida; Vitales; Vitaceae. The record is from RNAcentral.
CCUGUGUCAGCUUCUUAAAAAGAUAUGUUUCGAAGUCUUGUAGUGGAAAUGAGGAUGUAAGGAUGGAGAGAAAUAUACCCACAGAUGUCCCAAAGCGAGUGAGAACACUUCAGCUAAUAUGAAAACCACAAAGAAGGGUUUAGAGUUAAGGAUUGGAAUAUUGAUUAGGACCUCCUGGUACUGUGUAGGCUGCUGCAAAGGCAACAGUGGCUAUGAAAACAGAAAGAAUGGUGCAAUUCUCAGUGGUGCGCAUUAGCCAUUCCUUGGCAUCUCGAUGGAGUCUCUCAUUCCUAGCAGCAAAUAAUUCUUCAGCAGUCUGGUUAUCUUUGUUGAGAGGCUUGGUCA